Molecule: ribosomal RNA, 415 nt
Filed under: Salmonella enterica subsp. enterica serovar Infantis
Lineage: Bacteria; Pseudomonadati; Pseudomonadota; Gammaproteobacteria; Enterobacterales; Enterobacteriaceae
Also listed under: 8 other names
Description: bacterial SSU rRNA
Rfam family: Bacterial small subunit ribosomal RNA
Source: RNAcentral
AACCCUUAUCCUUUGUUGCCAGCGGUCCGGCCGGGAACUCAAAGGAGACUGCCAGUGAUAAACUGGAGGAAGGUGGGGAUGACGUCAAGUCAUCAUGGCCCUUACGACCAGGGCUACACACGUGCUACAAUGGCGCAUACAAAGAGAAGCGACCUCGCGAGAGCAAGCGGACCUCAUAAAGUGCGUCGUAGUCCGGAUUGGAGUCUGCAACUCGACUCCAUGAAGUCGGAAUCGCUAGUAAUCGUGGAUCAGAAUGCCACGGUGAAUACGUUCCCGGGCCUUGUACACACCGCCCGUCACACCAUGGGAGUGGGUUGCAAAAGAAGUAGGUAGCUUAACCUUCGGGAGGGCGCUUACCACUUUGUGAUUCAUGACUGGGGUGAAGUCGUAACAAGGUAACCGUAGGGGAACCUGC